RNAcentral lists this long non-coding RNA (224 nucleotides) under Gossypium raimondii (Peruvian cotton). RNAcentral describes it as "long non-coding RNA (GRAI_LNC007640)". Lineage: Eukaryota; Viridiplantae; Streptophyta; Magnoliopsida; Malvales; Malvaceae. The record is from RNAcentral.
UUGGUUCUUUUGUUAUUUCUUGAUCGUAUAGUUUCUAUUUGGUUGGCUUCAAUCCUUAGAGGUAAGGUUCCAUCAUCUUCUACUCGAUUUUGUUGUUGAAAUUAUUUGUUGGAUAUUUGGGGAUUUCAAAAUUUCGAUAGUGUGGUGCAAAAUUUUUAUUUUGUGUUAUCUAAUUAAUCCGAUAUGUUUUAGGAGAAGAUCGAGACGUGUUUGGUGUCCCUCCA